RNAcentral lists this ribosomal RNA (735 nucleotides) under Paenibacillus sp. UA-VH0125. RNAcentral describes it as "bacterial SSU rRNA". It matches the Rfam family "Bacterial small subunit ribosomal RNA", at positions 55 to 769 of the family's 1533-position model. Lineage: Bacteria; Bacillati; Bacillota; Bacilli; Caryophanales; Paenibacillaceae. The record is from RNAcentral.
AUGCAAGUCGAGCGGAGUUGAAGAGAUGCUUGCAUCUCUGAUACUUAGCGGCGGACGGGUGAGUAACACGUGGGUAACCUGCCUUUAAGACUGGGAUAACAUUCGGAAACGAAUGCUAAUACCGGAUACGCGAUAUGGUCGCAUGACUGAAUCGGGAAAGAUGGAGCAAUCUAUCACUUAGAGAUGGACCCGCGGCGCAUUAGCUAGUUGGUGAGGUAACGGCUCACCAAGGCGACGAUGCGUAGCCGACCUGAGAGGGUGAUCGGCCACACUGGGACUGAGACACGGCCCAGACUCCUACGGGAGGCAGCAGUAGGGAAUCUUCCGCAAUGGACGAAAGUCUGACGGAGCAACGCCGCGUGAGUGAUGAAGGUUUUCGGAUCGUAAAGCUCUGUUGCCAGGGAAGAACGCUUAGGAUAGUAACUGCUCCUAAGGUGACGGUACCUGAGAAGAAAGCCCCGGCUAACUACGUGCCAGCAGCCGCGGUAAUACGUAGGGGGCAAGCGUUGUCCGGAAUUAUUGGGCGUAAAGCGCGCGCAGGCGGCCUUGUAAGUCUGUUGUUUAAACUCGGGGCUCAACCCCGAGUCGCAAUGGAAACUGCAAAGCUUGAGUACAGAAGAGGAAAGUGGAAUUCCACGUGUAGCGGUGAAAUGCGUAGAGAUGUGGAGGAACACCAGUGGCGAAGGCGACUUUCUGGGCUGUAACUGACGCUGAGGCGCGAAAGCGUGGGGGAGC